AUACUUACCUGGCAGGGGAGAUACCAUGAUCACGAAGGUGGUUUUCCCAGGACGAGGCUUAUCCAUUGCACUCCGGAUGUGCUGACCCCUGCGAUUUCCCCAAAUGCGGGAAACUCGACUGCAUAAUUUGUGGUAGUGGGGGACUGCGUUCGCGCUCUCCCCUG
Molecule: small nuclear RNA, 164 nt
Filed under: Microtus ochrogaster (prairie vole)
Lineage: Eukaryota; Metazoa; Chordata; Mammalia; Rodentia; Cricetidae
Description: U1 spliceosomal RNA (ENSMOCG00000003925.1)
Rfam family: U1 spliceosomal RNA
About the family: U1 is a small nuclear RNA (snRNA) component of the spliceosome (involved in pre-mRNA splicing). Its 5' end forms complementary base pairs with the 5' splice junction, thus defining the 5' donor site of an intron. There are significant differences in sequence and secondary structure between metazoan and yeast U1 snRNAs, the latter being much longer (568 nucleotides as compared to 164 nucleotides in human).
Source: RNAcentral